CUCUUUGAAAAUUAUUAAUAAAGAGUUGGGCGCGCUCGGUGAGAAGAAAAUAUAACAGAGGCGGUAUUAUAACUGUACUAAGGGAGCAUAAUAAUUUGCCUUAUAAAAUAAGGCGAGAAAGAAAGGUUUGACGAAAAAUAGACUGUCUUUAUUUUAUUUGUUAGAAAAUAAUUUUUAUAGUGAAAAAGCUUGAAUAAUUUAAGGGGACGAGAAGACCCUAUUGAGCUUUAUUUAUUAAUAUUUAAAUAUAAAUAUAUAAUUUAUAUUAUGAAAAAUAUGUUGUAUAUAUAUAUAUAUAUAUUUAAGUGGAUUUAAUUUUGAGUGGGGUGAUCAAGGAAUAAAGAUAAAGUAACUUCCUUAAAAUUAAUGAGUGUUUUUAUAGAGUAAUAAACCAAGUUUUUUGCUUAUAAGAUAAGUUACCAUAGGGGUAACAGCGUAAUUUUUUUUGAGAGUUCAUAUUGAAAAAAGAGAUUGCGACCUCGAUGUUGGAUUAAAAAUUACCUUAAGGUGUAGAGGCUUUGUUGGGAGAAUCUGUUCGAUUUUUAAAAUUUUACGUGAUC
RNAcentral lists this ribosomal RNA (560 nucleotides) under Amphioctopus aegina. Its description in RNAcentral is "partial 16S rRNA". The stretch from base 427 to 560 matches the Rfam family "Bacterial large subunit ribosomal RNA", at positions 2473 to 2605 of the family's 2925-position model. The record is from RNAcentral. Lineage: Eukaryota; Metazoa; Mollusca; Cephalopoda; Octopoda; Octopodidae.